Molecule: ribosomal RNA, 301 nt
Filed under: uncultured bacterium
Lineage: Bacteria
Description: partial 16S ribosomal RNA
Rfam family: Bacterial small subunit ribosomal RNA
Source: RNAcentral
CAGUCGCCACGGUAAUACGUAGGUGGCAAGCGUUAUCCGGAAUUAUUGGGCGUAAAGCGCGCGUAGGCGGUUUCUUAAGUCUGAUGUGAAAGCCCACGGCUCAACCGUGGAGGGUCAUUGGAAACUGGGAAACUUGAGUGCAGAAGAGGAAAGUGGAAUUCCAUGUGUAGCGGUGAAAUGCGCAGAGAUAUGGAGGAACACCAGUGGCGAAGGCGACUUUCUGGUCUGUAACUGACGCUGAUGUGCGAAAGCGUGGGGAUCAAACAGGAUUAGAUACCCCCGUAGUCCCUGUCUCUUAUAA